Molecule: long non-coding RNA, 5685 nt
Filed under: Hordeum vulgare
Lineage: Eukaryota; Viridiplantae; Streptophyta; Magnoliopsida; Poales; Poaceae
Description: long non-coding RNA (HVUL_LNC011549)
Source: RNAcentral
AAACAAUUGAUCGGCCCAACUGUUGGAAAUUACAGGCCGGGGGUUGAUCUUGGCAUGAUCUUGAGCAAACUAAAGCUUCCUUUUGAUAGAUCCCGUGGAUCGACAAGGCUAGAUGUGUUCGGUUAGAGUAGUGGUACGUUACCUUAUCCCGUACUCGAUGAGCUCCCUCCGGUCUUCCAUGGUGAGGUGGGGACGACGGUGGGGAAGGAGAGGGAGAUCCGGUGGCGGCGGUGGUGGACUUCCCUCCGCUUCAGUGCAUCCCUCUAGAUCGGAUUAGGGUUGAAGAAUGGGGAACCAGUGGCGGCGACGGACCUCGUUACUUGUGCCACGGUCCCCACCUCCUCUUUGAAGCACUGCGCGACAGGGGCCCACCAGCCUUACUUGGGCUGGACGCCCCCGAUCAGGGCGUGAGUCAAGGUCCAAUGGGCCGUUGGGCCCAUUGGGGAAAGAGAUCAACCUAACAUUCUCCCCCUUGAUCUCAUCAUAUACUUUUAACUUUACCCGUUUCGUAACAAAUCAAUACAUAGGGCAUGUUUCAUCGUCACGGCUCAAUUGCCGAUGGAAUCAGACAACCACAAUGUACCUCUCUAUUUCGAGACAGAUUCUUUAACCCUGGGCCCUUUAUUGUCCGGAAAUUUUAGACUAUACCAUAAAACCCAUGUCGACUGUGUGUUCUCCGAACGCACUAGGCGGUAAGCCUUUGAUAAGCAGAUCUGCAAACACUUGUUUGUUGCUUUUAUGCUUCAAGCAUUUUUCCAUAAUUCCGGACUUUCUCCUUCACAACACGUAACUCUUUGUGAGUGUGUUUGGCAUCAACACUUGACUCUUUGUGACAGGAGCGAAAGAACUUAAAAUGGUAAUCGUCGUUGUCAACCAUUAUCCACUCCGGGUACAGGUAGCCUUAACCACGUUGUCCGUCCCUCAGCCUCAUAUCAAGCUAUAACAUAUCAUUGCAUCACAUUGAUGACAAUCGUUUUACUCAUUUGGAGAUUUUCCACACAAAACUCCGAGUAUGAAAGUUAGCGACAAUUGUGGAUUUCGCUAUACAUUUCACAAGUCUUGCCUUUGUACUCACAAUCUUUUGAGAGCACUUAUUUCUUUUAGCAUGAGGCCGAUAUCUUUGAAUCCAUUCCAUUGAUUUAUCUAUGGACUGGACAUUGCCAAAACAACCCGGAUAUAUACGUGAACUGUGUCAGGGUAAUAUCUUGAGCUUCCAACAACUGAAGCAUAUGGUACCAUAUCCGUUAGCAAUCUUUUCUUAUUAACUUUUGGAACACCAUAGUUUCCACUUCCAUUACCCUUGACUAUAAGAACAGGCGUAGGUUUUCUCGUAUGCAUGCUUUAGAGAUCUUUGUUAGCAUGUCCAUGCGACAUUUCUAAUACCCCUUUUAUUCUUUUGAACUUUGAGGACAAGAACUUCUUUUCUCCUCCUGAAGUAGAUUGACAUCACCACUAGCAAGUAGGACAUCAUCCACAUGCAUAGGAAUUGGGAAACGAAUUUCCCAUUCUAUAACUUUGCAAGAAUGCAAUUGUCCUCUCAUUUUCUUUGCACAAAAUCUUUCGAUUAAAGUCAUGUUUUAUACAUUUACAUAUUUCCUUUGGAGUCAUAUUUUCCUUGUAGACCCUUCAUAAAGUCUAUGUUAGUGAAAUUCAAAUGAUGGAAUUCCACUAACAUAGACUUUAUAGUAGUCACAAGUCUGAUUUUCACAUGCCUAGAGACCAUCAAAAUCUCAGGUACUGGCACUUAUUCCAUAUGGGGUUGUCGUUGCUCUGUCAUUGCCAAGAGGCAAAUUCAUUCUAUAGUCACCCAUUUCCAAAAGGCAAUAGGUUUUGCAGGGACCUGUAUCACAAGAUCCCUUGUAGAGCUAACAACAGGUGUUGUAUAGGUCAUACAACAUGCUCCCCCAGAUUACUCCAUCUUCACUGAAGAAAUGGCGUAUCUUUAAACUUUCUUCUUUAUGGCACUUUAAGCACCACCGUUGUAUUCCUUAGUCUGCAUUCGGAACUAUAAAGAUCCGAAAAUACAAUUGUUUCUUUUCUUUAGGGGUAUCAUAAUGACGGUAUUCAAAUGACUGUCGUACUCCCCUUGACAAUCACAUUCUUCAUUAAUGCAUCACUUUAGAUGCAUAAUGUGCAUUACAUCAUCUAAAGUACAGAGGAGUCAUGAAACACAUUACAAUGUAUUUCAUGUCUCUUUCUCCCCCUCGAAAUGUGGCAAGAACUUUUCUGCCACAAUUUCGAAACCCAUUCAUAGCUCUUGUGAAAUAAGGAAACUUCGAUUAUCUAGCUCAUUCAUCUUAUCACUUCAUGUAAAAUGAAGUUAUAAGUUAACUAGUAUGGGAGUACUUUUUCCUCAUUUCAUUUCAGAAACUCAACAGAGUUCUUUAUCAUUGCCUCUUUUGCAAGUCACACUUGCAUAUCAUUCUUGUCUUUAGGUUCGUCUGUUACUUUUAUCUUUCUGGAUUUAGUGAUUGCAUAAUGACCGUUACACAUAAGGUGUACGGUCGAUGAUAGGAAAGCUUAAUAGCUACUCCAUACUUUUCUUCCAUAGUGGGACACAUUAACCACACAUGAGUCAUCAUAACUUUCUCCUGUCAUACAGGAUAAGACCUUUGCCAAAAUUUCUCCCGCCAUACAUGGAUUGUUGACAUAAUACAAUGUCAACUUUACCCGGUUACGCAGGCAUUCUUUCCAGACUUUUCCCGCCAUGCGGGUAAUUCCCUUUAAGGGACAUCAUAAAUGCCAUAAUUGGCUCUUUUGACUACAUCAAAUUCAGAAAUAAAUCUGAAUUAUCUUUGACACACAUGUUUGAUCCGACGUUGGUCAAAUUAAACAUGCAUGUUGCUUGUUUCAUUUCAAUCAUGUUGACUGAAAAAGGGAGACUCCAUCAUAGAGAGUACAUGAAAGACAUUCGUCAACCAAGACUCUCAAUGAUCUAUCUCUUUUCUUUUCUUGAAUUAAUAUCCAAGAGUUCUUUUCUUUUGAAGCCAUUCUUUAGAGAGAAUUUAUUCCCUCAAGUUAUGACCUUUCUUUUCAAUCUUUCGGGUCACUAGUACCCAACAUUCGCUUUCAUGAGUAGAAGCUUGAAUAACUCUUAGUCUGAGAAAACUUAGCCAAUAGGCAACGGUAAUGAGCAUAAAAAUAACCCUACGUUUGUCUGAUUAAAAUCAUGCACAUUAAACCUUUUAAAACUUUCUGGAAUAUUCUAAAUCAUCGUUGGGCAGAAUUAGAAUAAAACAUUAUCCUACUAUAUUAAUUCCAUAUCACCGUUGGGCAGAAAUGGAAAUAAUGCAUAUAACUUAUAAACAAUGUGAUGAUAGUAUUCUUAUUGAACAACUUUGCUAAGAAAUAACAAUCAUCAUCAUUAACCAUAUGCGUUUCUUUAUCUGUGCUCCGAAAAUUGAUCACUUUGAUACAAAAUUUAUCAGAGAUUUAAGCUUUAAACAUAAGAUGACUCAUACGAAUAUAGUAUUGUUAUCAUCAACGUUGGUCAAAAAACAACAAUACCAUAUUUUAACUUUAAAACAAACUUCAUUCUUUUGUCAUAGCGGAAACUGUUUGAAUCUUAUUUCACCCACAAGGGAAAGACUUUGCUAAUAACAGUUCUUCCAAUUAAAUUUUUCCGUUGGUUCCAAUUUAAUUGGAGGACUAAACCUUUUUACUUUACAGCGGAAAAACAUGAAUAUAAAAAUUCAUGCACCUUUACAGAAAAAUAUUCUGUUAAAAUUAAAAUUCAUGAACUUCAUAAUCUCCUUUAUAAAAUCCAUGAAUUCUUCUUUUUCUGAAAAUCUUUCUUUUAUUUUCAGAACCUUUUAUUUUUCUUUGCAGAAAAAACAUGUUACUAUAACAGAAAAAUAUUCUGUCAUAAUUAAAAAUUCAUGAACUUUAUAAUCCUUUUUAUAAAAUUCAUGAACCUUUCCUUUUGUGAAAAUCUUUCUUUUAUUUUCAGGAUCUUUUUAUUUUUCUUUUCAGAAAAAUCAUCUUUGCUUUCAUAGAAACUUUGAACAUUUUUCUUUUGUAUUUUCUAAACAAUAUUUUGUUGGAAAAUACGUACAGAAAAUAUCAUUUUAAAUCUGUCUAGAACUAGACAAAAUGAAAAUCUCCCUUUUAGAAGGAGAAAAGGGGCCAGAGCCUCUAUGGGCCAGCCUCCCUUCACCUGGGCCCGGCAACUCCCGUCGGCCUGAGGCGUUUUUCUUUUGGGCCGGCCUCGGCCUCGCUCCCGCUGGGGCCCGAGGGGCCUUGCCACCUCCAGCCGGCCUGUUAGGCCCGAGCCGCCCCUAGGGUUUCACCUCAGGGGAUCCUGGCCGCCCAGAUACAUCCAACGGCCCUCCGCGCCCCUCGGAAGAACAAAAAGGGGAGCCAGCCGGGGGGGGGGGGGGACCCUAAUUUCAUUUCCCCCUCACUGCGCCGCUGUCCUCCUCUCUCUAUCUCGAGCGGCGGCUUCAUGACCCAUCGAGGGUUCCUCCUGUUCCCGCAGCCCCUCUCUGGGACACAGCCAGACAGCGUCCGCCGGCGGUGGUGGCCGAGGGGCCCCGCGCCGUGCGUUGUCUGCCCUGCCGAGGAGGAGGCCGACGGGGUACCCUCCGUAUGUUCCUCUAGGCGCCCCCUCGCCUCCUAUGGCUGCGGGCCGUGGUGGUCUAAAAGACCCCAUACCGCGUGCUGCUGAGUGGCCGAGCCAGUUGCGAGGUGGAGGUGGCCGCCGGCCGCGGCGACCAUGGGUCCCGUGCCGUGCGUGCCUUGCUCUCCACCCCCUUCCCGUGGCGCUUCCAUGCCGGGGUCGUGGCCUUCCCCUCGCCGGCUGCGCACACACCUUGCGGUGGGUGCGCCGCCGUCGAGGGGUCGGCUGCGGCCCCUUCGAUUUUCUUUUCUUGUCUCAAGAGGGUGCUAGCAUGUCCGGGGCGGAAAUCGUCUUUGUUGCCAUCCCCCUCGCCGGUGGCGCGUCCGCCUUGCGGUGGGCGCGCCGCCGUCGAGGGAUUUGGUGAUGAAGUCAUAUGCCCCGUGGGAAUCUUUGUUAUUCUUGGUUUGCAUGUUCCCUUCCUCUUGUUUGCCUUUUCCGGAUCCGAUCUGUUUGCUUUCUUUAUUUUCCUUUUGGAUCUAGAUCCACACUUUGCCUCCGAGGAGGGGUGGCUUUUCUUGGCUUUCUUUUGCUGUGUAUUUGCGUGUUCCCCUCCUCCCUUUUUUUUGUUUUCUUUUUCGGAUUCAAUCCGACCUUUUCUUUGCCUCCGAAGAGGUGGUACCUUCGUCCGACGCCUCGGCUUGCCGAUGCGCGUCGAGAUCGAGAGGGUUGGCGCGGCCUUGCGGCGGCGCUUCUUUGCCGGAUGGAAAUCCUGUGACUUUCUUUUUCUUUUGCUUUUCAGCUCGAUCUUUGCCCUCUUCUAGGGUUCAUAUCGGGGAGAGGAAACUUUAUCGCUUUCGUUGUCUUCAACCAAAAACACAUCGAAUACCAACCUGCUCAUGAUACCAUUGAUAGAUCCCGUGGAUUGACAAGGCUAGAUGUGUUCGGUUAGACUAGUGGUACGUUACCUUAUCCCGUACUCGAUGAGCUCCCUCCGGUCGUCCAUGGUGAGGUGGGGACGACGGUAGGGAAGGAGAGGGAGAUCCGAUGGCGGCGGUGGUGGACUUCCCGCCGCUUCAGUGCAUCCCUCUAGAUCGGAUUAGGGUUGGAGAGUGGGGAACCAGUGGCGG